GUUCUCAUAGUUAAAAAUAACAGCAGAUCUUCAGUCUGCAGGUCUAGGUUAAAGUCCUUGUGGGAAUA
Molecule: transfer RNA, 68 nt
Filed under: Hemisus marmoratus (mottled shovel-nosed frog)
Lineage: Eukaryota; Metazoa; Chordata; Amphibia; Anura; Hemisotidae
Description: tRNA-Glu
Rfam family: tRNA
About the family: Transfer RNA (tRNA) molecules are approximately 80 nucleotides in length. Their secondary structure includes four short double-helical elements and three loops (D, anti-codon, and T loops).
Source: RNAcentral